RNAcentral lists this ribosomal RNA (326 nucleotides) under uncultured eukaryote. Its description in RNAcentral is "partial 18S ribosomal RNA". It matches the Rfam family "Eukaryotic small subunit ribosomal RNA", at positions 1470 to 1796 of the family's 1831-position model. The record is from RNAcentral.
CCCUUAGAUGUUCUGGGCCGCACGCGCGCUACACUGAUGCAUUCAACGAGCCUAUCCUUGACCGACAGGUCCGGGUAAUCUUUGAAUCUGCAUCGUGACGGGGAUAGAUUAUUGCAAUUAUUAAUCUUCAACGAGGAAUGCCUAGUAGGCGCAAGUCAUCAGCUUGCGUCGAUUACGUCCCUGCCCUUUGUACACACCGCCCGUCGCACCUACCGAUUGAAUGGUCCGGUGAAAUCUUCGGAUUGAGACUUUGAUUUCUUCACGGAAAACGCUGUUUUAAAAAGUUGAUUAAACCUUACCAUUUAGAGGAAGGUGAAGUCGUAACA